Molecule: ribosomal RNA, 38 nt
Filed under: Otidea nannfeldtii
Lineage: Eukaryota; Fungi; Ascomycota; Pezizomycetes; Pezizales; Pyronemataceae
Description: partial 18S ribosomal RNA
Source: RNAcentral
AAGGUUUCCGUAGGUGAACCUGCGGAAGGAUCAUUAAA